Long non-coding RNA from Gopherus flavomarginatus (Mexican gopher tortoise), 390 nucleotides. RefSeq lists it as uncharacterized. NCBI's taxonomy places the organism in Eukaryota, Metazoa, Chordata, Testudines, Testudinidae. The record is from RefSeq and is a predicted model, not a curated record. The transcript is spliced from 2 exons.
GCUCUUUAUACCAGCUGGUUGGAACUACUUGCAAUAAAGAACAGCAGCAAAACUCUUCAGAGGGAAAUAGAAGUCCAGGAGAAGCAUCAUGAAGUGGUAUCUGACGCUGGUCUCAUCUGAUUUCUAAGAAACUACAGAAAAGCUGAGAGACAAGGCUGCAAGGAAGCAUCAGGCAUGCUCUGAACAAGCAUUUAGUGUGUGGUCCUGGAAAAGUGGAGAGAGAGCUUUUGGGCCAGGUUCUGGCAAAAAGAAGUACAGGACUGUGAGGUUUCGGGCUGUGAGCAAGGAAACGGUCUCCUAUUGUUUAGCUCCUCCCAUGUUCAGGGAAACAGAAAGUUGUACAUUCUCUCUAAAUGAAAAAAAGAUUGCAUUAAAGGUACCUGAACCCAU